UGGAUCCAGACUUUGAUUCUGGCUCAGGAUGAACGCUAGCUACAGGCUUAACACAUGCAAGUCGAGGGGAAACGACAUCGAAAGCUUGCUUUUGAUGGGCGUCGACCGGCGCACGGGUGAGUAACGCGUAUCCAACCUGCCCACCACUUGGGGAUAACCUUGCGAAAGUAAGACUAAUACCCAAUGAUAUCUCUAGAAGACAUCUGAAGGAGAUUAAAGAUUUAUCGGUGAUGGAUGGGGAUGCGUCUGAUUAGCUUGUUGGCGGGGUAACGGCCCACCAAGGCGACGAUCAGUAGGGGUUCUGAGAGGAAGGUCCCCCACAUUGGAACUGAGACACGGUCCAAACUCCUACGGGAGGCAGCAGUGAGGAAUAUUGGUCAAUGGACGAGAGUCUGAACCAGCCAAGUAGCGUGCAGGAUGACGGCCCUAUGGGUUGUAAACUGCUUCUAUAAGGGAAUAAAGUGAGUCUCGUGAGACUUUUUGCAUGUACCUUAUGAAUAAGGACCGGCUAAUUCCGUGCCAGCAGCCGCGGUAAUACGGAAGGUCCGGGCGUUAUCCGG
RNAcentral lists this ribosomal RNA (560 nucleotides) under uncultured organism. RNAcentral's name for it is "bacterial SSU rRNA". It matches the Rfam family "Bacterial small subunit ribosomal RNA", at positions 1 to 548 of the family's 1533-position model. The record is from RNAcentral.